RNAcentral lists this ribosomal RNA (220 nucleotides) under uncultured bacterium. Its description in RNAcentral is "partial 16S ribosomal RNA". It matches the Rfam family "Bacterial small subunit ribosomal RNA", at positions 57 to 305 of the family's 1533-position model. The record is from RNAcentral.
GCAAGUCGAGCGCUCACUUCGGUGGGAGCGGCGGACGGGUUAGUAACGCGUGGGAAUAUGCCCUUCUCUAAGGAAUAGCCUCUGGAAACGGAGAGUAAUACCUUAUAAGCCCUUCGGGGGAAAGAUUUAUCGGGAAAGGAUCGGCCCGCGUUAGAUUAGAUAGUUGGUGGGGUAAUGGCCUACCAAGUCUACGAUCUAUAGCUGGUUUUAGAGGAUGAUC